This 352-nucleotide ribosomal RNA is filed under the name uncultured bacterium. RNAcentral's name for it is "partial 16S ribosomal RNA". It matches the Rfam family "Bacterial small subunit ribosomal RNA", at positions 338 to 682 of the family's 1533-position model. The record is from RNAcentral.
CCUACGGGUGGCUGCAGUGGGGAAUGUUGGACAAUGGGCGCAAGCCUGAUCCAGCUAUUCCGCGUGUGGGAUGACGGCCCUCGGGUUGUAAACCACUUUAGUAGAGAACGAAAAGGAGCGAUCGAAUAAAUAGCUCUGCUGACGGUACGCGAAGAAGAAGCACCGGCUAACUACGUGCCAGCAGCCGCGGUAAUACGUAGGGUGCGAGCGUUAAUCGGAAUUACGGGGCGUAAAGGGUGUGCAGGCGGCUGAGUAAGACAGAUGUGAAAUCCCCGGGCUUAACCUGGGAACCGCAUAUGUGACUGCUUGGCUAGAGUGCGUCAGAGGGCGGUGGACUUCCACGUGUAGCCGU